CCCUUGUACCUGUAUGUAGGUAAUGGUGUCUGAGGGAAGAUGGCAAGCAGCAGCAGCAGCAUUAUAGGAGCAGUCCUGACAGAAGCUGCCCAAGAGAAAAGCUGGACCCUGGCCCUCCCUGCUUUGCAGACUACACUGUUGAGCGUCACUGGGUUGCAGGAGGACGUAUCGGACUUGCUCGGAACCGGCUAGUUCAUGGGUUUGAAUCCAUGAAGGAACGAGGCUGUGAGGUGGAGCUUUUGGAGCUGGGGGUGAAGAACCCAUCCAUUGUCCUGGGAAAGGCGAUCUCGCCUGUUGGGGAAAGCCUGUGGAUGACGGGAGGACAUACAGAGUAGAGAUCAGGAAAGAAAAGGCAGCACUGCCCUAAAUCCCAUCUUCAGCCGAGGACGGUUGAGAAGGAACUGAGGAGGGUGCGGGACGCAUGCACUCAGGAAGAUUCCAACGAGACAGGAGAUACCAACUGAGUGUGUGCAUCCCGACCAGGCACUGCUACUGAAAAUCUCCGACCAACGGCUCUGGGAUGCACCAUCCCCUAGAGUGGAGCAUCCACAGGGACAGCACUCGAAGAAGAAGGGUACUUGCUGAUAACAAUAUAACUGCAGUAUGCAGUAAUAACUCUGCAUGUGAAUCUCCCGAGUCAGUAGUGCUGGCUCCUCAGCACCAUACUCAAUUAACCAGAUCAGGGAUACUCACGAUGAUUAUACUGGAGCACCAAACCACCAUGGUCCAUGGUGCUGAAUCCUUGGCACUGGACAAGGUUGAUUUAGAUGUAUUUAUGACCUUAUUACCAGUUAUUUUGAUCAUCAAACUCCAUUUGCAGUUCAGAGUCAACAGGACCAGAAUUCAUCAGACAGAGGAGACCAGGAACCUGGACUCUGUUUAAGCAAGACAUAGAGCCAUUUUGAAGAGCCAAUCUCAAAAGUUAAUGCUGGACGUACAUCACCAGACUUAUUCAACUGGACCUUAUCGGCCAACAUGUCAGUAAAGGUGUAUUAGGUGGUCUGCCCAUUUCUACAAGUCAAUCUCCAAAGACAAUGCUGGAUUUACACAUUUAUGACUGGGCUUAAGGAGCGUUCUGGUCAGUAGGAGUGUGGCAACCAUUCUGUUCCAUGCAGAUCCUCAUGAUGUCCAUGCUGAACAGGCUCUUUUUCUCCUUUCUGAAAUUAAGGAAAGGCGAGUAACUGACCAAAAAAAACCCCAAACCAAACCACCUGUUGAGAAACGUGUCAAGGACACUGCAUACAAUGUGAGCUUUCUGCACGAUAUCUAUUAAGAAGGAACUGAAGGGCAACUAUGGCCAGAGUGGUUUUAUGACCUUAGAAUCUUCUAUGACGGAGGAGGGGAAGGGGUUGGUGAAUGGUCCGAACUGACACCGCUUGUCAACUGAUUCCAGGCACCAAUCCCAAAAAUGGGACCAUGCAGUGGCAACACUUUCAAAGAACAACUGGUUAACUUUCCUGAAGUCUUGGGAACAAGACAAGUAAAAUAUCUGAAAUCUUUUAACAGCUAAAAGAAUGUAAACACUUGUCCUGAGGAAAAAAGGUAGCUAAAACAAUUAAGAUGUAACUCAGCGUCCACUGUGGGAAUAAGCUCCAAAGGAAGCCAGAGUUCACAGUUUAUUGGACAAAAACUGGAAGGAAGAGAAAUAACCAAAGAACUUAAUUCUCCAGUCCUCCUUUCAGAAAUAACUAUAAACAAAGUCACUUUCAGAGUCAGGAAUAUGAAACCUGGCUUAUAGAAUCAAUAGGAGGUUCUGUGCUAAGGAGCAUUUUGGAGUGAUAGGAUUAAGUAAAGGUCUCUGUGAGAGAAGGAAAUGGAAAAGCUAUUUGAAAUAAGCUAAAAUCUAUGUCAGUAAUAGGGCCCUCAAAGGCCAAAAUAGCAGAAUCUUAUACCCAGAGUACUCUGAUUUAAAGCCCCCUCAAAUCCUGCUAAUAUAAAAAUCCAAAAUAUUCUUUAUAGAAGAGGAACAGUGCAUGAUGUUUUGAUCAGAAGCACAACCAUAGAAAGACCCAUCAUGUUAGUGGAAGGUUUCCUAUUCAAGAAGACAAUCUGCAACCUCCACGGCAGUCUUUUCUUGGAACCAGCACUACUCAAUUUCCAUAUUAAUCUCAAGUGACUGGAUUAGGCCUGGAACAAUGAACUCCAAGAUAAAAGGUUGGAUGUCUUGAGAAGUGGCCAGCAUGGAGGUUAAUUAAAUAGGAGAAUAAAGGGCCAUGUGCCUCUAAGAAGCUAAAAUAAUCAUCACUGUCUUGCCUGCUAUUUCAGUGACAUUUUGAGUGGAGAGAGAUCAGGGAAGGCAAGAUGUCGCUUCAUGCUCCAGUCCCAGAAUUUUGGGUUUGGUAUUUCUCUAGCAGAAACAAGAAAGUUUGGCAUUUGUCAGACUGAGUUGAAAUUAAAUUUUAACUAUAUUUAACUGAAAAACCUGAAUACUGGGGCUCCUCUCCCAGGCAACUAACUGCUGAUGACUGAGCUAGUCUGCAAGAGAGUUGUCUUUCUUCCACUGUUAUUUGGAGGGAAAGCAAAUGAGACUACAUCCAGGAGAAGAGACUCUAAAAGGGAAACCCAAUUCCAAGAGUUGUAAGCUUGCAUAAAAGCAGGUACAGAGUUUGCCUGAGCACCUAAGAGAUUGUUGGAAGCCCAGAUAGAGUGAGAAUAGAGUGAGCAGAAUUGAUGCUAGUGGCAAGGACUGUACCAGUCCGGAGAAGAAAGGAACUACUGUAGUGCUAGAAGUGCUACUAGGCAGGGGAGGGUGAGGUGAGGAGAAGAGAAUUCCCAAAAUGCUGAGCUUACCAGCAAUCUGGGAUGAUGGGUAUGGCUGACAGGCAAGGAACAUAACUAAGCUGCAUCUGCAAAUACCAACAGUUUGGCAGGAGAGACAGAGAGGGGGAGCUUAUUGGGAAAUGCCUGCUGUCUCCAGGUUGGAUAAAUAGUGGCAAUAAUGCUGAGGGAAGAGGGCCCAGUGAAACCCACUUCCUAUACAUAUGAAGUCAGAUUUCUAGGAUGGCCAGUAUCAGGUCCAUGAGAUGUGGAGAUAGCUGGAUCCAGAGGUCUCUCCUGAGAUGCAGGAGCAGCUUUGCUGUCAGCAAGGGGUUCAAUGGCAGAGCUUAAAGCUCUGUCAUCCGCAUCCUCUCUGCAAGAAAUUCCCCUGAACCACUGGGGAGGGGAUAACCAAAGCCUUGAUCUUCUCCAAUAUGUUCCUCUUCUUCUUCUCCUCCCUCUGGGGCCUAGUAAGGAGCGGAGAAAAGGGUUUAGAAGAAAUAGAGGAGGAAGGAACAGUGCAGAAGGAUUCCUUGCUUAUUUGAUGGUAAAGAAGAUAAAAUGAUCUGGGAGCGAUCUGACUGGUGUUCUAACUCAAAAAUCUUUCCCUCCUUGCUUCCUAGCAUGUGGAACUGUAAUACCAUCUGUCCUUUACUCAGCAUUGCCAAAUCUAAGAGAUCAAAAUUCAUGAGUUAUGCCCUGAAAAAUCAUGAGAUUUUAAAAAAUAAUACAUUUUGAUCUUGUUAUUUGCCUUCUGGAUUUUGAGCUGUAAGGUUCAUGUUUUCAAGCAUUUCUCCAUAACCACGAGGGCUAGAAACUCACUUUAAUUUUAAGCUGAAAUUCUCAUAUAAUAUUAUUAUUACCUAGCUCUUACAAAGUAAUCAAAUAUAAUCAAAAUAGUCCAAGAGUUGGAGCUUUAAAGAAAAACACCAAAUAUAGCAACAUAGUGAUAAAACACGAUUUCCUGCCUCUUCUAAGGAUGGUGUUAAAGAGAUGUACAGUCAUCUAUGCACACCCCCUUCCAUGGCUUCUCAACUUACUGGCACAGUUUUAUUCAGCAGAGUAAAAUUCACCAACUGUCUUAAGCAGUUUAAUAAUCUAAUAUGAUCCCAUGUUGCCCCUCACACCAGUUCCCUCCCCCCCCCGACCCCUCAAAUCCCCUUUGACUUUAUCUUUCCUUUUCCUACCUUUCUUCCAUUGAUACCCAAUACCCAAAGUGAAGCUAAAGAAGAUUUAGCUACUAUGAAACAGCUCUGAAAUGUUGCAGUUUGGUGCUACAUUUAUCGUUUUAUCUUUACUUUUAAGUUGAACACUCAUUAGGACUCAAAUUGACAGUUCAUUAAACAUACUUCAUAUUAAUGCAAUAAACUCCAUAUCAACAAAU
Malaclemys terrapin pileata is the source of this 4141-nucleotide long non-coding RNA. RefSeq lists it as uncharacterized. NCBI's taxonomy places the organism in Eukaryota, Metazoa, Chordata, Testudines, Emydidae. The transcript has 3 exons. The record is from RefSeq and is a predicted model, not a curated record.